AGGUAGUAGUACAAACAAAACCUAUUUAUACUGGCGGCUUUAUUAAUUUAGAGGAACUUGUUAUAUAAUCGACAACCCGCGAUACAUUUCACUUUAAUUAAAAAUUUAUAUACCGCCAUUAAAGAAUCUUUUUCCAAAUACAUUCAUAAUAAUAAAUAAAAAAUUAGGUCAAGGUGUAGUCAAUAUUAAAGAAUAAAUGAGUUACAUUAAAAACAAUUUAAGGAGAUUUUUCUAAAAAGAAAAAAUGAAAAAGAAUUUAACAAUAAUUAUAUAAUAUUAAUCAAAUAUAAUAUAAUACAAUAUAAUGAACUACAUAAUAAAGUGC
Molecule: ribosomal RNA, 325 nt
Filed under: Mahafalytenus sp. CG268
Lineage: Eukaryota; Metazoa; Arthropoda; Arachnida; Araneae; Ctenidae
Description: partial 12S ribosomal RNA
Source: RNAcentral